This is a long non-coding RNA of Manis javanica (Malayan pangolin), 512 nucleotides long. RefSeq lists it as uncharacterized. NCBI's taxonomy places the organism in Eukaryota, Metazoa, Chordata, Mammalia, Pholidota, Manidae. The record is from RefSeq and is a predicted model, not a curated record.
UGUGGCCCCAGUGAAAGUGCAGUGAACUCUUACUUGUCCUCUUGUGAGAAAGUCAACCUGGGCAGCUGGAGAUACAAUCGCAGAAAUCAGCUCCCUCCCUUCCACCCGGUUUGUUCACACUUACCACAGGCUGUGGAGACACCUUAACUAAGAAAUCACACCCAUUCUUCCAAGCAAGAAAAAUACCUGUUCCAGCUAUCAGGCUGCCAAGAUUUACAACUCUCAACACCGAGACACCUGCGUUUCUCCAAAGCCCUGGUUGGAGACUAAUUUCCUCACGCAUUACAGCUCAUUUCGACUGGGUAUGCCUCUGACUUCAUGAAUACAGAUACUAGGCCUGUGGAGCAGCAGUCAUCUUAUAAACAUGAGGACUAAAGAUUUUUACUAGAGACAGCAGAGAAAGAAGAGGAAAGGAGUCAGAGUCCUAUGUGGCAAUGUCGAGCCACUAGACCUCUGCUGGAUGGCCCAUCUUGUCAUGGCAGACAAAUAAACUUUUCUGUGUUUAAACUAUA